AUUAAGUUUUACGCUUUGUUCGAUCGAAUGAGAAAAUGUACGCGUUGCAAAUUUAUACUGUUAGGGCGCAGCUGGGUAGUCUAAUGUUGUUCCGGUUUCGGUUCAUGUGAAGGUUGACAUCGAUUCGUUCCAAAUGUACACUCUUGGGGCAUAAUAGAACAAUAUAAUUAGCUUUUACACUUUGUUCAAUCGAAUGGAAAAAAAUACUCGUUGCAAAGUUAUACUGUUAGGGCGCAGCUUAGUAGUCUAAUGUUGUUCCGGUUUUGGUUCUUGUGAAGGUUGACAUCGAUUCGUUCUAAAUUUACACUCGCGGGGCAUAAUAGAACAAUAUAAUUAGCUUUUACACUUUGUUCGGUCGAAUGGGAAAAAGUACUCGUUGCAAAGUUAUACUGUUAGGGCGGAACUGAGUAGACUAUUGUUGUUCCGGUUUUGGUUCUUGUGAAGGUUGACAUCGAUUCGUUCCAAAUUUACACUCUUGGGGCAUAAUAGAACAAUAUAAUUAGUUUUUACACUUUGUUCGAUUGAUUAAGAAAAAGUACUAGUUGCAAAGUUAUACUGUUGGGGCGCAACAGAGUAGUCUAUUGUUGUUCCGGUUUUGAUUCUUGCUAAGGUUGACAUCGAUUCGUUCCAAAUUUACACUCUCGGGGCAUAAUAGAACAAUAUAAUUUGGUUUUACUCUUUGUUCGAUAGAAUAAGAAAAAGUAGUCAUUGCAAUGUUAUACUGUUAGGGCGCCACUGAAUAGUCUAAUAUUGUUCCGGUUUUGGUUCUUGUGAACGUUGACAUCGAUUCGUUCGAAAUUACAACUCUCGGGGCAUAAUUGAACAAUAUAAUUAGGUUUUACUCUUUGUUCGAUAGAAUGAGAAAAAGUACUCGUCGCAAAGUUAUACUGCUAGGGCGCAACUGAGUAGUCUAAUGUUGUUCCGAUUUUGGUUCUUGUGAACGUUGACAUCGAUUCGUUCCAAAUUUACACUCUCGGGGCACAAUUGAACAAUAUAAUUAGGUUUUACUCUUUGUUCGAUAAAAAGAGAAAAAGUACUCGUUGCAAAGUUAUACUGUUAGGGCGCAACAGAGUAGUCUAAUGUUGUUCCGGUUUUCGUUCUUGUGAACGGUGACAUCGAUUCGUUCCAAAUUUACACUCUCGGGNCUGGGAACUUGUUGUACACAAUCUCGUCGUUGUGCCUUGGGCGGACAGGGGAGGUACUGUCCGUACGGCGGUCCGCCGCCGUGCCCGAACCGAACCAAAUUGGUAUCGGCCUCGGGGCGGGGGCGUGACAGAAAAAUUACUAGUUGCAAAGUUAUACUGUUGGGGCGCAACAGAGUAGUCUAUUGUUGUUCCGGUUUUGGUUAUUGUUAAGGUUGACAUCGAUUCGUUUCAAAUUUACACUCUCGAGGCAUAAUAGAACAAUAUAAUUAGGUUUUACUCUUUGUUCGAUAGAAUGAGAAAAAGUACUCAUUGCAAAGUUAUACUGUUAGGGCGCAACCGAAUAGUCUAAUGUUGUUCCGGUUUUGGUUCUUGUGAACGCUGACAUCAAUUGGUUCGAAAUUACAACUCUCGGGGCAUAAUUGAACAAUAUAAAUUAGGUUUUACUCUUUGUUCGAUAGAAUGAGAAAAAGAACUCGUCGCAAAGUUAUACUGCUAGGGGGCAACUGAGUAGUCUAAUAUUGUUCCGGUUUUGGUUCUUGUGAACGUUGACAUCGAUUCGUUCCAAAUUUACACUCUCGGGGCAUAAUAGAACAAUACAAUUAAGUUUUACUCUUUGUUCGAUCGAAUGAGAAAAAGUACUCGUUGCAAAUUUAUAAUAUUAGGGCGCAGCUGAGUAGUCUAAUGUUGUUCCGGUUUUGGUUCUUGUGAAGGUUGACAUCGAUUCGUUCCAAAUUUACACUCUUGGGGCAUAAUAGAACAAUAUAAUUAGCUUUUACACUUUGUUCGAUCGAAUGGGAAAAAAGUACUCGUUACAAAGUUAUACUGUUAGGGCGCAACUGAGUAGUCUAUUGUUAUUCCAGUUUUGGUUCUUGUGAAGGUUGACAUCGAUUCGUUCCAAAUUUACACUCUCGGGGCAUAAUAGAACAAUAAAAUUAGCUUUUACACUUUGUUCGAUUGAAUAAGAAAAAGUACUAGUUGCAAAGUUAUAUUGUUGGGGUGCAACAGAGUAGUCUAUUGUUUUUCCGAUUUUGGUUCUGGUGAAGGUUGAUAUCGAUUCGUUCCAAAUUUACACUCUCGGGGCAUAAUGAAUAAAAUAAAUAGCUUUUACACUUUGUUCGAUUGAAUGAGAAAAAGUACUAGUUGCAAAGUUAUACUGUUGGGGCGCAACAGAGUAGUUUACUGUUGUUCCGAUUUUGGUUCUUGUUAAGGUUGACAUCGAUUCAUUCCAAAUUUACACUCUCGGGGCAUAAUAGAACAAUACAAUUAAGUUUUACUCUUUGUUCGAUCGAAUGAGAAAAAGUACUCGUUGCAAAAUUAUGCUGUUAGGGCGCAACUGAGUAGUCUAGUGUUGUUCCGAUUUUGGUUCUUGUGAAG
This 2519-nucleotide long non-coding RNA is filed under the name Ananas comosus (pineapple). RNAcentral describes it as "long non-coding RNA (ACOM_LNC029062)". Lineage: Eukaryota; Viridiplantae; Streptophyta; Magnoliopsida; Poales; Bromeliaceae. The record is from RNAcentral.